UCCAGACUCCUACGGGAGGCAGCAGUGGGGGAUAUUGCACAAUGGGGGAAACCCUGAUGCAGCGACGCCGCGUGAGUGAAGAAGUAUUUCGGUAUGUAAAGCUCUAUCAGCAGGGAAGAAAAAAGACGGUACCUGACUAAGAAGCCCCGGCUAACUACGUGCCAGCAGCCGCGGUAAUACGUAGGGGGCAAGCGUUAUCCGGAUUUACUGGGUGUAAAGGGAGCGUAGACGGCAAUACAAGUCGGAAGUGAAAUACCCGGGCUUAACCUGGGAACUGCUUUGGAAACUGUAUGGCUGGAGUGCUGGAGAGGUAAGCGGAAUUCCUAGUGUAGCGGUGAAAUGCGUAGAUAUUAGGAGGAACACCAGUGGCGAAGGCGGCUUACUGGACAGUAACUGACGUUGAGGCUCGAAAGCGUGGGGAGCAAACAGGAUUAGAUACCCGCGUAGG
This 448-nucleotide ribosomal RNA is filed under the name uncultured bacterium. Its description in RNAcentral is "bacterial SSU rRNA". It matches the Rfam family "Bacterial small subunit ribosomal RNA", at positions 330 to 794 of the family's 1533-position model. The record is from RNAcentral.